Molecule: long non-coding RNA, 105 nt
Organism: Etheostoma cragini (Arkansas darter)
Lineage: Eukaryota; Metazoa; Chordata; Actinopteri; Perciformes; Percidae
Exons: 3
Source: RefSeq, a predicted model, not a curated record
UACCUAUUUAACUGUCUAGUAAAGUUUAAAGAGAUUGCUUAAAAAGUGCAAUCCACAUGUUUACAUAUGUUUAUUACAGUAAAUAAUAAUUCACUAAUCUAAAUA